UCAGACGAUGCGUCAUGCAUAUCAAUAAGCGGAGGAAAAGAAACUAACUAGGAUUCCCUCAGUAACGGCGAGUGAAGCGGGAAGAGCUCAAAUUUGAAAUCUUCAAGGUUCUACCUUGACGAAUUGUAGUUUAAAGAAGUGUUUUCUGUUGGAGUUUUGGUAAAAGUUCUUUGGAAUAGGACAUCAUAGAGGGUGAGAAUCCCGUAUUUGACCAUUAUUUCCAGCUUUGUGAUACACUUUCAAAGAGUCGGAUUGUUUGGGAAUGCAGUCCAAAAUGGGUGGUAAAUUUCAUCUAAAGCUAAAUAUUGGCGAGAGACCGAUAGCGAACAAGUACCGUGAGGGAAAGAUGAAAAGAACUUUGAAAGGAGAGUUAAACAGUACGUGAAAUUGUCAAAAGGGAAGCGUUUGACACCAGUGUUGUUUUCUCGAAAAUCAAUUAAAAAAGGCAGGAUUUUGUGUUGUAUUGACUUUAUCAGCUUUCUGCACUCUUUUCUUGUCUUUUUUUAAUGCACUUUUCGUUUAACAAGUCAACAUCAAUUUCUUUUGUUGUAAAAGGGUCAUUGGAAGGUGGCUUUCUUUUCGGAGAAAGUGUUUAUAGCCUUUGGCCUCUGCAAUCGGAGAGAUUGAGGUCUGCAGCGUAGAUCCUCCGGGGUUAGAUACAUUUGUGCUAAGUUAUAGCCUUUCAUAGACAACUUGUUGACUAUGAUCAGUCAUGUAGCUUACUCGCUUAUGCUAUUUUACCUACGCUUAGGAUGUUGAUCUACAGAGCGAGAGU
Molecule: ribosomal RNA, 775 nt
Filed under: uncultured Neocallimastigales
Lineage: Eukaryota; Fungi; Neocallimastigomycota; Neocallimastigomycetes; Neocallimastigales
Description: partial large subunit ribosomal RNA
Rfam family: Eukaryotic large subunit ribosomal RNA
Source: RNAcentral